AGAGCGAACGCUGGCGGCAGGCUUAACACAUGCAAGUCGAGCGGGCGUAGCAAUACGUCAGCGGCAGACGGGUGAGUAACACGUGGGAACGUACCCUUCGGUUCGGAAUAACCCAGGGAAACUUGGGCUAAUACCGGAUACGUCCGUAAGGAGAAAGAUUUAUCGCCGAGGGAUCGGCCCGCGUCCGAUUAGCUAGUUGGUGGGGUAAUGGCCCACCAAGGCGACGAUCGGUAGCUGGUCUGAGAGGAUGAUCAGCCUCACUGGGACUGAGACACGGCCCAGACUCCUACGGGAGGCAGCAGUGGGGAAUAUUGGACAAUGGGCGCAAGCCUGAUCCAGCCAUGCCGCGUGGGUGAUGAAGGCCUUAGGGUUGUAAAGCCCUUUCGGGCGGGAAGAUAAUGACGGUACCCGCAGAAGAAGCCCCGGCUAACGUUCGCGCCAGCAGCCGC
RNAcentral lists this ribosomal RNA (449 nucleotides) under uncultured bacterium. RNAcentral's name for it is "SSU rRNA". It matches the Rfam family "Bacterial small subunit ribosomal RNA", at positions 26 to 518 of the family's 1533-position model. The record is from RNAcentral.